This 547-nucleotide ribosomal RNA is filed under the name uncultured bacterium. RNAcentral's name for it is "bacterial SSU rRNA". It matches the Rfam family "Bacterial small subunit ribosomal RNA", at positions 355 to 896 of the family's 1533-position model. The record is from RNAcentral.
UGGGGAAUAUUGCACAAUGGGGGGAACCCUGAUGCAGCCAUGCCGCGUGAAUGAAGAAGGCCUUCGGGUUGUAAAGUUCUUUCGGUGACGAGGAAGGUUGGUAUGUUAAUAGCAUAUCAAAUUGACGUUAAUCACAGAAGAAGCACCGGCUAACUCCGUGCCAGCAGCCGCGGUAAUACGGGGGGUGCGAGCGUUAAUCGGAAUAACUGGGCGUAAAGGGCACGCAGGCGGUGACUUAAGUGAGAUGUGAAAGCCCCGGGCUUAACCUGGGAAUUGCAUUUCAUACUGGGUCGCUAGAGUACUUUAGGGAGGGGUAGAAUUCCACGUGUAGCGGUGAAAUGCGUAGAGAUGUGGAGGAAUACCGAAGGCGAAGGCAGCCCCUUGGGAAUGUACUGACGCUCAUGUGCGAAAGCGUGGGGAGCAAACAGGAUUAGAUACCCUGGUAGUCCACGCUGUAAACGAUGUCGAUUUGGGGAUUGGGCUUUAAGCUUGGUGCCCGUAGCUAACGUGAUAAAUCGACCGCCUGGGGAGUACGGCCGCAAGGUUA